AGGUCUGCAAGGUGUUGCGAAAACCCUUUCUUGAUGUGAACAAUAUGGUCUGGUAUUAUUGUUAGUUGUCAAUCGAUCCAUGAUUCAAUCUCGUUUGCAAAUUCAAGUGUUUCAUUUGAAGGAUGACGCAAAUCACACGCAAGGAACAUGUUAAUAUGCAUACUAUUGUUCUUCCCGAGUCAUUUGUGCAACAUAUAUAUUUCAACAUAGCAAUUGAAAACUGACUGGUGUGCAGGUUGGUUUUUGUGUGUUCUAAGUUCUACAACUACUAAGGGCUAUUGGUUCUGGAAAUUAUUCACAAGCAUGCGGGCUCUGACCUACUUUUGUCCAAAUAUCUUUCUUUGUAGUGAGUUGUGCUGAUUCACAUUAAGGUGCAUCGAAACUACCCGAAAUCAUUUUAUUUUGUCUUCCCAUCGGUUACUUUUAAGAGUUGGGUAUCCUGAAGUUUUUCCAAGAUGUGCACCCUAUUCCUCUGUUUUCACACUACUAUUUUUCCGUUCUUUAGUUUUAGUGUAUAUGACGCAUUUCUUUUGUCGAAGUUAACUCUUCAUUCUUCUCAUAUGCUCUUCCAGAUUGGUUACCUUUUAGACACUCAAGUAAAUGUUUCACAUUUUCUUUGAAGUUUAUUUUCUUGGAGAAUCAUAUAUCUAUGUCAGAUCAUGCUGUUUAGUUGUGUAUGCUCUCUUUUUUUUACUGAAUUUUAUAAAUGUUUGUUGCUUGGAGAAUCACAUUUCUUUUAACUGUUAAUUCACGAGGACUGUAUUUAUAACUCUCAUUUAUUUUGAAAGCGAGUAUUAGCUUUGAAUAGUCAUUAUCUUUGACCAUUUUAUAGCGAGUCGAUAGAAUAAUUUCUCAUAUCAAUGUCCAGUCCCUUGCUCCUCGAAGAAUAUCUGAUUCAUUAUUCCUUCUUGUGAAUUCUUUAUUUCAGGUCCUGAAGAGGAUGUUUCUGCACCUCUAUUAUGCUUCCAGAAAAAGGCGCACCUAUGGAUUUUCAAGAAUGGGCACAUUCGCUCUCUGGUCUUCCGAUGCAACACUGUAUGUGUUGUCGAAUUUUGGCUUUUGGCUGCUCGUGUAGUGUCGUACUAAAUAAAUAGACCAGUCAGAUGCAUUGUAGCCAUUUGUGCUUUGGCUCAAUAAAUGAAGAAACCUAUAGGAACAUAUAUUGUGUUCUUUGUGUUCCACCUUGUAAGACUGCCACCUCUCUGUUAAUAUAGACCUAUGACCUUGCUUUGCUUGGCUUGCUUUAUGAGUGAAUGCUCUGCUGCUGCAGUUUAUAUCUAUUCUUUUUUCAACAACUGGUGUUUAUUUGGAUUGCAUACAUGUUCAAGUGCAUCAGCAGGAUUAGCGCGCAGAGUACCGCAG
RNAcentral lists this long non-coding RNA (1362 nucleotides) under Triticum aestivum (bread wheat). RNAcentral describes it as "long non-coding RNA (TAES_LNC011366)". Lineage: Eukaryota; Viridiplantae; Streptophyta; Magnoliopsida; Poales; Poaceae. The record is from RNAcentral.